Podarcis lilfordi (Lilford's wall lizard) is the source of this 1432-nucleotide non-coding RNA. The record is from the annotation of a GenBank genome assembly. Lineage: Eukaryota; Metazoa; Chordata; Lepidosauria; Squamata; Lacertidae.
GAUCAAAUCAGAAACCAGGACGGCUUUUCUAAAUCAGGGACAUCCCUGGAAAAUAGGGACACCCAGAAGGUCUGGGCUCCUUGUGAACUUCCCCUUUGUGGCUCCGCUUCUGGUUGCUGUGCUCAGGCUGCCCACAGGGCCACAGCUUGCAGCAGGCUCAAGGACUUGGCUGUGGGUCCCCUUAGAUUCCUUGACUGGGUCCUGCUUUCCUGUCAGGUGACAGAGGGCUUGUCCACACUUCUGCUUGUCCUGUGCUUCCUGGGCAUGGGUCUGAGCAGUUUUGCCAUUGCACUACUGUAGGGGUCAACAAACUUACUGUGCCUCGGGCCGGUGUCUCCAGUGCCGAUCGCGUGGUGGGCUGGAGGGCGGGGGAGCACGUGCCCAUACGCAUGCGUACAUGCUAUUUCCAGCACACUUCCGGGUAGAAGGAGCACCGGAAAUAGCUUGUGCGCAUGUGCACGGGCCUCCUCCGACCCAGGUGUGCACCAGAAAUAAUGCUUGCGCAUGCACACAAGCUAUUUCUGGUGCUCCUCCGACUCGGAAGUGGACAGCUGCGCAGCGCAGCGCCAGUAAUAGCAGGCGGCGGCAGCGGGCAGUGGGGGUCGCUGCGGGCCAGAUAAACAAGUCCCUCAGGCCUUAUCUGGCCAGCGGGCCUUAGUUUGGGGACCUCUGCCCUACUGCUUUCCCCCAGAAAACCCACUCUUUGGCAGUAAAUCAGAACAAACAGCCAUCAACCUGAUUGCUGUUUGCUCAGAUUCAGCUGAAAUCAGGCUUCCCCAGCAAGACAAACAGAGGUGUGGAUAAGCUGAGAGUCUUAACAUUCUGCCAAACUCUGAUUCUUAUCCUGCCUAGUCAGUUACCUACCAGGGGCUGUAGGUCUGUGGGCAGAGCUCAUGAUUUGCAUGCAAAAGGUCUCAGGUUCAAUACCCUGGCUCUGGAACAAACUCCUGUCUGAAGCCCUGGAGAGCUACUGCCAGUCAGUGUUGAAACUACUGAUCUAGAUGAGCCAACACUGCACAGCCCAACACUGGCAGAAAGUCAACUCAGGUGGGUUCCAUUCAUGGGCUAAGAAAACAAUACGGCUGUUUGAACCGGUCCUCAGAAUAACUCUGACUAAUGUCUAGCAUGCAAUAAAGCCCAUUGUCUGCUCUGUCAAUUGUCUAGCAAGUGCCAAAAUAGAUGGUGAUGAAACAGGAGCUCCUCUCUGGCCGUUGUCCUGUUAUCCAGCUAUUCUGGAGCUCUGCCCUCUCUGGGCCAACUUUCAAUUCUACUUGAUUAGUGAUUCCCGCAGUUCCCUAGAGGGCUGGGGGGCAGGUAAACAUUUUGACACAUGAAGACCGAGCUUGUGAACUGCAUCCCCACUCCCUGGGAUGCUGCUAGCUGCUAUUUUGAUAGCCAUUGUUAGAACAUUACUGAGGAGACAGCAGAAUGU